RNAcentral lists this ribosomal RNA (253 nucleotides) under uncultured bacterium. RNAcentral's name for it is "partial 16S ribosomal RNA". It matches the Rfam family "Bacterial small subunit ribosomal RNA", at positions 524 to 776 of the family's 1533-position model. The record is from RNAcentral.
UACGGGGGGGGCAAGCGUUGUUCGGAAUUACUGGGCGUAAAGGGUUCGUAGGUGGCGUGCUAAGUCAGACGUGAAAUCCCUCAGCUUAACUGGGGAACUGCGUCUGAGACUGGCAGGCUCGAGUGCAGGAGAGGAACGCGGAAUUCCAGGUGUAGCGGUGAAAUGCGUAGAUAUCUGGAGGAACACCGGUGGCGAAGGCGGCGUUCUGGACUGCAACUGACACUGAAGAACGAAAGCCAGGGGAGCAAACGGG